AGUGAACGCUGGCGGUAGGCCUAACACAUGCAAGUCGAACGGCAGCACAGUAAGAGCUUGCUCUUACGGGUGGCGAGUGGCGGACGGGUGAGGAAUACAUCGGAAUCUACUUUUUCGUGGGGGAUAACGUAGGGAAACUUACGCUAAUACCGCAUACGACCUACGGGUGAAAGCAGGGGAUCUUCGGACCUUGCGCGUUUGAAUGAGCCGAUGUCGGAUUAGCUAGUUGGCGGGGUAAAGGCCCACCAAGGCGACGAUCCGUAGCUGGUCUGAGAGGAUGAUCAGCCACACUGGAACUGAGACACGGUCCAGACUCCUACGGGAGGCAGCAGUGGGGAAUAUUGGACAAUGGGCGCAAGCCUGAUCCAGCCAUACCGCGUGGGUGAAGAAGGCCUUCGGGUUGUAAAGCCCUUUUGUUGGGAAAGAAAAGCAGCAGGUGAAUACCCCGCUGUUCUGACGGUACCCAAAGAAUAAGCACCGGCUAACUUCGUG
RNAcentral lists this ribosomal RNA (492 nucleotides) under uncultured bacterium. Its description in RNAcentral is "partial 16S ribosomal RNA". It matches the Rfam family "Bacterial small subunit ribosomal RNA", at positions 29 to 507 of the family's 1533-position model. The record is from RNAcentral.